Long non-coding RNA from Cyanistes caeruleus (blue tit), 335 nucleotides. RefSeq lists it as uncharacterized. The record is from RefSeq and is a predicted model, not a curated record. Lineage: Eukaryota; Metazoa; Chordata; Aves; Passeriformes; Paridae.
CUCCCUCCCGAUGCUUUCACAGGAGCUCUGAAGCAGCUGGCAAGGCGAGGCAUGCCAGCUACAGCUCUGCUGCUGGGGGCCCUUCAGGGGGGCUGCAAAGGCAACCAACCUCAAGCUCUGACCCUCUGCAGGGUUCCCUGUGGUCUGCUGGGAAACUCCUAAGGUUUCUAAGCUCACAGAGAGCAGGCUUCCAGACUUUCCCUGGCAGUCAUGAAGGAUGAAAACAUUGUUUGGAAGGCUGCACUUUUCGCAUAAUCAUAUGCUUCUUGGGAUCAGUGCUCUGCGAGAUACAAUACAUUUUGUAUAACAAUUAAAAUCAUUGGCAAAACAGUUUU